AACGAACGCUGGCGGCAGGCUUAACACAUGCAAGUCGAGCGCCCUGCAAGGGAGCGGCAGACGGGUGAGUAACGCGUGGGAACCUACCUGAAGGUACGGAACAACUCCGGGAAACUGGAGCUAAUACCGUAUGUGCCCGAGAGGGGAAAGAUUCAUCGCCUUCAGAUGGGCCCGCGUCAGAUUAGCUAGUUGGGUGAGGUAAUGGCUCACCAAGGCGACGAUCUGAGCUGGUCUGAGAGGAUGACCAGCCACACUGGGACUGAGACACGGCCCAGACUCCUACGGGAGGCAGCAGUGGGGUAAGUUUUGGACAAUGGGCGAAANCCUGAUCCAGCCAUGCCGCGUGCAGGAUG
This 353-nucleotide ribosomal RNA is filed under the name uncultured bacterium. RNAcentral's name for it is "bacterial SSU rRNA". It matches the Rfam family "Bacterial small subunit ribosomal RNA", at positions 29 to 410 of the family's 1533-position model. The record is from RNAcentral.